This 305-nucleotide ribosomal RNA is filed under the name uncultured bacterium. RNAcentral describes it as "bacterial SSU rRNA". It matches the Rfam family "Bacterial small subunit ribosomal RNA", at positions 338 to 660 of the family's 1533-position model. The record is from RNAcentral.
CCUACGGGGGGCAGCAGUGGGGGAUAUUGCACAAUGGGGGAAACCCUGAUGCAGCGAUGCCGCGUGAGCGAUGAAGUAUUUCGGUAUGUAAAGCUCUAUCAGCAGGGAAGAAAAUGACGGUACCUGACUAAGAAGCCCCGGCUAACUACGUGCCAGCAGCCGCGGUAAUACGUAGGGGGCAAGCGUUAUCCGGAUUUACUGGGUGUAAAGGGAGCGUAGACGGCAGUUCAAGUCUGAAGUGAAAGGCAAGGGCUCAACCCUUGGACUGCUUUGGAAACUGUGCUGCUGGAGUGUCGGAGAGGCAA